Molecule: RNA transcript, 1941 nt
Organism: Lactuca sativa (garden lettuce)
Lineage: Eukaryota; Viridiplantae; Streptophyta; Magnoliopsida; Asterales; Asteraceae
Source: RefSeq, a predicted model, not a curated record
GUUACGUUGUUUCUUCCCGAUCCUUCCAUCGUCUUCCUUUUAUCUCUCUGCUCCAAAUCAUACACAUCUCUUUCUUCAUCGUCUCCCCUCGGUUCUCCAUUGUUAUUGUUUCGCCUCUGCUUCUUAUAGAAAAGCACCACCGUCCCUGCCUCCGCCUCAAAUAAUCUCACCAUCACUGGAAUUCUAGGCCUCCCGGUCAGGUCGGCGAGUCGACCCCUCCAAUGUUUCUGUCAUCCAAUAGCCUCCUUUCGAUGCUUCCCAAUGCUUCACUAAAACCAUCUAUCUCUCUAUAAAUUCAUCGCCAUCCCUUCUAUCAUGGAUUUCUUGGGAAAAAUGUUUUGGACAGGAUCUACUUGAUAUAACCCCCACCGCUCCACCGCAUACCUAUCAUCCCUUACAACACUCUCUGCUUCGUUUUGGUUUUGCACAGGUUGGCUGUGUCUAAUUUCAUUUCAUUCUUAUGUAGGUUUCGACAAAUUUGAAAGGGGUUUCAAGGUCGACUUGCAAAUUCCAGGUAUGUCACCUCUAAUUUUGGAUUUGAAGUACCUUAGAGUUUGAUUUUGUUGUAACUUCCCUCCAGACUUCGUCACUGUUUCUAUUGUUUUUUGGUUUCACCCAAUUUUUAAUCAUAUAAGGAAGAAGGUUAGAUGCGUAUUCUAUAUUUUGGAUCUCGUUCAAAAAUCAUCGCUAACUUUCUUUUCUUUUACUUAUCUUAUUCUACCAAUGUUGCGUCUCAGAGUAUCUACAGGAUUUUCAUCGAUCAUAUUACUUUUUUUUGCCUUCUCAGCAUUUCUGUGCACUGGAAAACGCUAAAAAGAGACGUGAAAGCUCUUAACGAAAUUAAAGCAUCUCUUGGGUGGAGUGGUGAAUGCAUGGGUUGGAGAUGAUCUAUGUGGAGAUGGUGAUUUACCAGCUUGGUCUGGUGUCACAUGCUCCACACAAGGUGAUUAUAGAGUAGUUACUCAACUAUAAGUCUUACUUCAUCAUGUAUAUGCAGUUUUAAUUGUGGGACCCUUUCCUACAACUGUAACCAAUCUACUGGAUCUUACUAGGCUGGAUCUUCACAACAAUAAGUUGAUUGGUCCAAUCCCACCACAAAUCGUGCAUUUAAAGCGACUUAAAAUACUUGGGAAAUUUAAAGAAGAUACAAGACCAAAAGGUUUUUGGAAUCAUCAACCUCAUCAAGUCUCAUUUCUACAAUUAUGGAUCAAAGGCUAAGGUUUCAAAACUUAUGUAAAAUUGGAGUUAUCACAAAGUUGACAAAUGCUUACUGCUUGGUACCAAAUGAAGGCUCUGAAAGUUUAUACAUGUUUUUUCUUGUAAUUGUUGUUGAAAUCUCUUAUUUAUAAACAAAGUUUACAAGAGUUUAGAUGUUGGUUCGCAGCAUCUUUGAGUUUGAAUUGGCUGAUGUUAUUCCUGUUGUUAAAACAUCCAUUGGGGGUACAAAAGUAGUUGGAAGACUCUGCAUUGGUGAGUACUGAAAAACAUUUGCAAUAUGCAUUAUUGAUAAGGGUUUACCUGAUUUUGGACUACGAUGUUAGAAGUAAACUCAACAAGGAGCUCUAGAAAUGCAAAAGCUUAACUGAACGACAUUCUACAACCAUCCCAAGGGCAAAGGUAAGGUGUGAUGGCGCGGCGUGCACUCGCUCCUAGGAGUUUUAUGGACACUAUGAUGUUUGAAAUGAAAGUUGUAUUUGACAUGUGUUUUGAAAACAAUUAUGGUUGGAUUUCUUAAAAUAUGGAAAUGUAUUUGACUAUUCAAAACAAAAAAUUUCUUUGAAAAAUUGGGUCGUUACAAUUAGCAUAACCUCUCAUAUAUUGUCAUGGGAAGCAUGUUAUUCAUAGAGGGGUCUUUUAUACAUGUUGGGUGAAUCAAAUGUGAAAGGAAUUACAAUAUUUUUCUUUAGUAAUAUUAGAAAAUUAUUUCCUUGGGGUCAUUCA